Molecule: ribosomal RNA, 391 nt
Filed under: uncultured bacterium
Lineage: Bacteria
Description: partial 16S ribosomal RNA
Rfam family: Bacterial small subunit ribosomal RNA
Source: RNAcentral
ACACGUAGGGGCCUGACGUUGUUCGGAAUCAUUGGGCGUAAAGGGCGCGCAGGCGGCCGUCCAAGUCCGGUGUUAAAUGGUCGGGCUCAACCCGAUCAUGCGCUGGAAACUGGGCGGCUUGAGUCCCGUAGGGGAUGCCGGAAUUCCAGGUGUAGGGGUGAAAUCUGUAGAUAUCUGGAAGAACACCGAUGGCGAAGGCAGGCAUCUGGCCGGAGACUGACGCUGAGGCGCGAAGGCGCGGGGAGCGAACAGGUUUAGAUACCCUGGUAGUGCGCGCAGUAAACGAUGCGCACCAGGUGUCGGGCGGCAGCGCCCGGUACCGGAGCUAACGCGAUGAGUGCGCCGCCUGGGGAGUAUGCCCGCAAGGGUGAAACUCAAAUGAAUUGGCGGG